UGAAUGAAUCCGGAAUUGAGGAAGAAGAUUGGAAUUGUUGAGAUUUGUUUCAAAACGUGGAUAAAUGUAUGUUUGAAUUUAAUAUUAUUAAUUAUUAAUGUUUACUUGUACUAUCAGUUUAAUGGUUUGACCGUCUUAAAAAAAUAAUAUUAUUAUAUUAUAGAAAUAAUAUGAUUUCUUUUAUAAGAUAGUAAAGAUAUAUACCAUAGUGAAUGUAAUAAGAAGCCAAGUUUCCCAAUAUUUAUAUUGAUAUCUUACAAGUUUUCAUCACAAGAUUAGUAAAAUGAUGAACACUAGAUCUAUUCUUGCUAUAGUUGUUGCAAUGAUGUUACUUUUGGGUGAUGUGCACGCUCAAGAGUGUAAUCCUAAUGAAUAUAUAAAGGAUUGUUAUAUAGCUCUAAUUGUAAAAAGUUCACCAUCUCCAAUUUGUUGUGAAGAAUUAGAUCACCACAAAAAUUGCCUAUGCAAAUACAUGGACAUUAAUCAGGUUUUAUUGCCACCACACUACCAAUAUCUCCCCAAUCUUGUUGAUACUUGUGGCGUCUUCUUUCCUGUUUGUGAAUUAGGGUUGUAGUUUGGUUGUGUUAUCAUUACAUCAAUACAAAUUACAUAUUUAUGAAUAAAUUCAUUUUCUUCAUGUUUUAAUUUGAAUUUUUUUAACUUUCCUUUUGGUGACAUUAGUGUUUGUGUUCAUAUAUGCAACACACUUUUAAUUUAUUAUAACAAACAAUACGUUAGUAAGUCUUUGUUUUUGUUACGGGAGUGAAGUGGGUUUAAGUGAUUUUAUUGAUUGUAUCUUCGAUAUUUUAGUUUUCAAUUCACAUUGAAUAUAUGUUAAAACAUGAAUUUGAAAUGUGUUUCGGUGAAUACUUAAUACCAUGGUGCCUCCAAUGUUUAAAACAAGUUGAAAUUAACUAUUUUCUUGAAUAGUAUCCUAAAGUGACAUUACAGUUGAAAUUUCUCAUCACUUUUCUCCCACGUGCCUAAUAUCAUAUGCAAAAUUCAGGUCAUCUCCAAGCUGAUCUUCUAACAAUUAGAGACCAUUAUUGGCUGCAAUAUGGUCUCACCCUUUAGCUCUUAUUAAACAUCCACUAUUUAAAGCCUUUCAUUAUUACUAAUGCCUUACUUUGAUAUACUUAGCAAUUCGUUUUGACUUGAUUACUUGAACCAUUUUUAUUCCAAAUAUAUCUAAAAUGUAUUUUUGUGCUUGGGAACAUGUUGAACCACAGUGACUAUUGAUCAAUGUUUUAAAAUUCAACAUAUGCAGCCACCAAGGUGUUUGAUGGGAUCUUAUUGUCUUUGAUCAAUGCUAAUUGUUCUUAUAAAUCAGAGUCGAUCCUUGCCGGUCCAAUAUGCACUAAAAAUCAUUCGAUCAAACUUUUCAAAAUAAUUUCUAAAUUAAUCAAACUUAUAAUAAUCGUUAGUGACUAAAAUUAUCAAAAAUGUCAUCUAUUAGUUAAAACAAUUUUAUUUUUAAUUGCUUAAAUAUUUAAACUCUUGUUAGUGUUUUGACAACAUGUGACCGCCCGACUACUGCUUAAGGACUUUUAUAACCUUUUUUUUGUAUCAUCAUAUCGUGUAUUGAUCAUACAUAUUUUAAAUUAAAAUAACUAAUCAUACUACAACAUAUUGGUAUUAAAUCACCUCCAUACUAAUAAACAGUAGAAGCAAAACCAUUGGGAAAAUAAGGCAUUGAUGGAUCCCUGAAAUCUGGAAUCAAAGGAUUGACCGAGUGAGGAUCUAUCUAAAGGUUGGUUUUGACCAUUCAAAGUGCUACUCUACUUGAAUCCAAAAAGGCUACAUGGGAAAGACAUGAAAUUAAAACAUGAAAAUUGAACUUAGCAUAUCAUAGUACUGCAUGCCUAUUGCUCCCCUUCUUUGAGGGAUCACGGAUUUCCAAUGAUAGAUUCUUCAAAAAAUAGCCUGCUUCUAUAACAGAAUAAGUUGAAUAAGUUAAACAGAAUAAAUUAUGAAGUAUAAACAUUUGAUAGCAAACAGUAAAUCUACCUAACUUAUGAAAAAGUUAAAGAGAUAUACUUCAUACAUCAUUUUCAUUGAGUUUGAAUCAUACGAGACAUUACACCAAUUCUCUGAUACACAUGGUACCCACAAAUUGCAUAAAUUUUAAACACGGAAGUACAAAAGUAAUGGUUGUUGUAGAGAAACAUACCUAAUAACUGCCGAGAGAGAUCAAGCCCACCAGUGCUAAACAACAAAAACUGUAGACCAGGAAAUAAUAGAUCGAAAAAAAAUACUCUUAGAUCGGAAAAACCUAAAUUAGAAAAACAAUAACCCUAAUUUCAUCGAAGAUGAUGAAGAUCAGUUUUUUUUGGAGAAGGAGAUCUUAAAUUACAUACAAGAUCAGUAGGUGCGGAUUCAUCCUUUCUAGAGACCUUGUGUAGGGUGUCACCGUUGUCGUAGACGAUUGUUAUCUGAAAAAAAGGAAUACAAAGAAAAGUGAAUACGACAGGGAAUGUGAGAAAUCGUGAAUAAGGUUGCAUAUGAUGGGGUUGAGAACUUGUACCCACAUUUAAGGAUAUUUAAGCCUGUAGACUUCAUAUUUUGAAAAUUGAAUCAACAUAUCAUAAGACAUUUAAGGAUAUUUGCUGGAGCGUAUUUGGAUCUACAAAGGUUUUAAAUUUUGAAUGAAUCCGGAAUUGAGGAAGAAGAUUGGAAUUGUUGAGAUUUGUUUCAAAAUGUGGAUACAUGUAUGUUUGAAUUUAAUAUUAUUAAUUAUUAAUGUGUACUUGUACUAUCAGCUUAAUGGUUUGGACGUCUUAAAAAAAUAAUAUUAUUAUAUUAUAGAAAUAAUAGGAUUUCUUUUAUAAGAUAGUAAAGAUAUAUACCAUAGUGAAUGUAAUAAGAAGCCAAGUUUCCCAAUAUUUAUAUUGAUAUCUUUCAAGUUUUUAUCACAAGAUUAGUAAAAUGAUGGACACUAGGUCUAUUCUUGCUAUAGUUGUUGCAAUUAUGUUUCUUUUGGGUGAUGUGCACGCUCAAGAGUGUAAUCCUAAUGAAGAUAUGAAGGAUUGUUAUACAGCUCUAAUAGUAAAAGGUUCACCAUCUCCAAUUUGUUGUGAAGAAUUAGAUCACCACAGAAAUUGCCUAUUCAAAUACAUAGACAUUAAUCAGAUUUUAUUGCCACCGCACUACCAAUAUCUCCCCAAUCUUGUCGAUACUUGUGGCGUCUUCUUUCCUGUUUGUGAAUUAAGGUUGUAGUUUGUUUGUGUUAUCAUUACAUCAAUACAAGUUACAUAUUUAUGAAUAAAUUCAUUUUCUUCAUGUUUUAGUUUGAAUUUUUUUACCUUUACUUUUGGUGAUAUUAGUGUUUGUGUUCAUAUAUGCAACACACUUUUAAUUUAUUAUAACGAACAAUACGUUAGU
RNAcentral lists this long non-coding RNA (3381 nucleotides) under Lactuca sativa (garden lettuce). RNAcentral's name for it is "long non-coding RNA (LSAT_LNC008541)". Lineage: Eukaryota; Viridiplantae; Streptophyta; Magnoliopsida; Asterales; Asteraceae. The record is from RNAcentral.